CUGCACCUGCUCCUGCAUCUGCAUCUGCAUCUGCACCUGCUUCUGCAUCUGCACCUGCUCCUGCACCUGCACAUGUACCUGCUCCCA
This 87-nucleotide microRNA precursor is filed under the name Echinops telfairi (small Madagascar hedgehog). RNAcentral describes it as "miRNA (ENSETEG00000023726.1)". Lineage: Eukaryota; Metazoa; Chordata; Mammalia; Afrosoricida; Tenrecidae. The record is from RNAcentral.